This is a long non-coding RNA of Cygnus olor (mute swan), 1051 nucleotides long. RefSeq lists it as uncharacterized. The record is from RefSeq and is a predicted model, not a curated record. Lineage: Eukaryota; Metazoa; Chordata; Aves; Anseriformes; Anatidae. The transcript is spliced from 2 exons.
CCAGAGGAAUAAACAGGCAAAGCCUUUUCAAGUUUCUCCAAAUGAGUCUUCUCCAAACGAGUGCCCAGGGCUUUAGUUACUGAGGCACUGCACAGCUCCUCCAUCCCAGCUUUGGAAAUCAUCCCUUGCCCUCCUAACAGAAUCUCAAAGCAAGAGCCCAAGAAGCAGUCAUGCCAUUUCCUAAUCAGUCAAGUGUGGUGGGCAGCUAGAAAAUUAGCAAUAAAUGCAGCCAAAUGCAAAAAAUAAAUUAAAAAAUAAUCUCUGUCACUUUGGACGAGUCUCCUGUUCUCUGGGUCAGGACCGAUGGUAUUUCCCCAAGGGAUUUUAUACACUAUGCACAUUUUUUGUACCUUAAGUAUACUUAUUUUAAUAUAUGAGUUGCUUCCUCUGUCCUCUGUGCAGUGUCAGUUAUUUUAAUUUAAUGGCCAGGCUUCAGUUCCUUUGCGUUUAUUGAGUAAUGCUGCAAUUUCAAGGCUUUUUACAGCAGAAGAUGUGAAUACAAGUGAAGACAUUAAUGUGAAUAACCAGAUCAGAGCACGUCCCUGAGACCACUGGACCAAAAAUACGUUUUUUUUAGUUAAAAAUAUUAAAUGCUCUUGAACAAAAGUCAUCUGAGGUGUAAUUCCACUCAUGUCCAUCAAGCCUUUCAUCAGGGAGAGCUGGACUAUGAAGUUUCCCCUAGACAAGACAGAAUGUGCAGUAGGACCACUGAGCUCCCCAUGGAGAAAACGUCAAGAGUUCUUACUCUCACUGAUCUUGUGGGUCUGCAGACUGCCUGAAUCACAAGUGCGUGUCAUGUAAACAUCCUAGCUUGAUUACUGAAGGCUCCAAGCUUUAUGAAGUCUGAAAAGCAGAAUAAAUUAUCCUGCCUGGAGUUCGUCACUACCACAACUAAGCUGCUUCCACUACCCAAGAUAAACCCUUUUUAACUAGAAUAGUUACCUCUAAAUUUUUGUACAGUUCUACCAAAAGAAAGCAUUUCUUAGUUUGCUGUUAACCUUUGCCUUUCUAUUAUCAGCGCUCUCAGAAUAAAGGUACGUGUUCAUUCUAA